GCACAUUUACGCAGAGUGAGAGUGGUAAUUUCUUGUCAUUUGACGUCGUUGUUGAAAUGUUUCAUGUAUUAGCUGUAAAAGAUAGACUGCAAAAGGACAUUUGCCUGAACAACACAAAAUGUGUCGAUUAACUAAUAAUUAAUAAUUAAUGUCAAAUCUUGAAUGGCUACUUGAAGAAUCUAAUAAAAAGCUGUUUUGCCUUAGAGGACAGAAUGAUUCUGUGGUUGCAUUUGUAUCAGUGUGAUCUUAAAGCUCUCACAUGAUGAACUCUCUACCCCCUGUGAAAGGAGAUAGGAUCAUCUGUGAUCUCCCUUUGUACUUCACAAGGGACGCUGCAGUGCACACCAAAUAUGGCUUCUACAUUGCUGUUAGAGAAGCAUGUCAGGGACAGAAGACAGGAUUUAAUGUAGCCAAAGUCAUUGUUGUUGGUGAUGUGGCAGUUGGGAAAACUAGUUUAAGUAACAGAUUCUGUAAAGACACUUUUGACAUGACUUACAAAGCAACUAUUGGAGUGGAUUUUGAGAUGGAGAGAUUUGUGGUCCUCGGAGUGCCCUUCAGUUUGCAGCUGUGGGACACAGCUGGUCAGGAAAGAUUUAGAUGCAUUGCAUCCACAUACUACAGAGGAGCUCAAGCCAUCAUUGUUGUGUUUGACCUGAGCAACUAUAACUCUUUGGAUAGUGCAAGCACCCAGAUCAGUUGGCCCAAAUGGAGCUGUGAUAUUGGGCUGUGUCUGCCAUGUCAGGGGAGAGUGUAGAGACUUCUUUCUAUGGGUCGCAUCACUUACAUUUGAGCGGCCAUUUUAUCUCGGCUAGAGAGGAACAGUUCUAAACAAGUUGGUGACAUUGUCAAAAUCUCAAAUAAUUGUGAUAAUGAUUUCAAGACUUUUAAGAAGCGGCAUUCCAGUUGUUGUCAUUAACUGAAAGUAUACUGUAUAAUCAAUGCUCUGAUGGAUAUGAUCAAAGAUGAAUAGAAAAAGAUUACACUGGACAGAUUUUGGGAUGAUGACUUCAUGAGGAUCUGUAGCAGUGGCCAGUUAUAUUAAAAUAAAUAAUGAGGAAAUUUCCACAAGAAGCAAAGUUCUAAUUCUAUUUAGAGAUUUAGCUAAUGCAUGGGAGAAGCACAAUUUUGAAGGAGGCAUGAUUUAAUGUUUUUUUUUUAUUUUUUUAUUAUUAUUGUGGAUUUACUACUGUAACGCAUGUAUUUUUAAAAUUGUUUCUUUAUCAUGGUUAUUAUAUUUGCCUGUAUAUAGGAAAACAUUUUUAUGUAGUUUGUCAUGGUUUACAUCAAGAGCAGGAGUAACAAAUGAUGAGAACCAAGUGAAGUUGUGUUACUUUCUGAAUGUUGUUAACAGAAACUUGGUUAAUUUUGUCCUGAGCAGUGGCAUAUAGACAUCCUAUUGCCAGUCUAUUAUUACUGUCAAACUUAUUGUAUGAUUUGUAAAUCUGGUAAAUCUGUUUAUAAGUACUUGAAGUCUUUUACUAAUCACGUCUGGUCCACAUAAAGCGGCACUGAUCCUUGUAAUUUGAUUGUAAUGAAUGCGUUUGUGAGGCUUUUGCCUACAGAUUUCAUUUUUGUGCUAUCAAAAGAGCAGUGUUUGAGCAGACUACUUAAGAGGUCACAUUAUAAUUUUCUUAAAUGCCCUCCUGCCAGUUUGCAGUGGAACUUUUGUAAAUGGUCCUUGUUUUUGAUUGCAUCAUGAGUUUCUUUGACUAAUAUGAUACUUACGCCAGCAACCCAUGACCACAGGCUCGGCUGCCAUCGCGAGAACAUAACAUUCCCACUUUGAGCUAAAUGGAAGGACUGUUAGAUGUAAAUGGAAGAGAAGUAUCAUUCAAGAACAACUGAACUAUUGCAAAGCAAAAAUUAUAUUCAAAUAUAAAAUGUGUUCAGCUCAUUUCAGGUCUUGUUUCAUAAGUAAAUAAAAUCUAAAUUGUUAGUAUUAAUCUAGAGUGCAUUCAAGUUGCUGACUGUGGUAAAUGAUUGCAAUUUUUUUCUUCUUCUGAAUCCUUGUAGGCAUAAGUGGCAUUCAAAUUCUGAUGAAUGUCACAUGGAAAGCUGCGUAGCGGAGCCCAUUUAGCCAGAUCUCA
Molecule: RNA transcript, 2087 nt
Organism: Myxocyprinus asiaticus (Chinese sucker)
Lineage: Eukaryota; Metazoa; Chordata; Actinopteri; Cypriniformes; Catostomidae
Gene name: ras-related protein Rab-34-like
Exons: 10
Source: RefSeq, a predicted model, not a curated record